UUGCAAGGAGAUACAUUCAUAUACAAGAAUAAACGAACAUUUUCAUAGAUACUUCAAAUAGUUUUCACAAACGUUUUUACAUGUUGAAACACUUUUAGAAACUGUCUUACAAACUGUAGGUUUCCUUUUGAGUCUGUUAUAUUUGUAUUUUCAAACAAAGGUUUUCUCACACUUAAACUGUAUUGUUAAACGGUCUUUCUAACCGAUUUAUGAACUGACAUCAAGUCAUAAAUUCCUAUUUAUUAAACUUUUCAGAGAUUUUCAAACAAAGGUUUUCUCACACUUAAACUGUAUUGUUAAACGGUCUUUCUAACCGAUUUAUGAACUGA
This 329-nucleotide long non-coding RNA is filed under the name Lactuca sativa (garden lettuce). RNAcentral describes it as "long non-coding RNA (LSAT_LNC005236)". The record is from RNAcentral. Lineage: Eukaryota; Viridiplantae; Streptophyta; Magnoliopsida; Asterales; Asteraceae.